RNAcentral lists this ribosomal RNA (262 nucleotides) under uncultured bacterium. Its description in RNAcentral is "partial 16S ribosomal RNA". It matches the Rfam family "Bacterial small subunit ribosomal RNA", at positions 514 to 774 of the family's 1533-position model. The record is from RNAcentral.
GCCGCGGUAAUACGGAGGGGACUAGCGUUGUUCGGAAUCAUUGGGCGUAAAGAGCUCGUAGGCGGGUCAGCAAGUCGGCUGUGAAAGUCCGGGGCUCAACCCCGGAAUUGCAGUCGAUACUGCUGUGACUCGAGUCCGGUAGAGGAGAAUGGAAUUCCCGGUGUAGCGGUGGAAUGCGCAGAUAUCGGGAGGAACACCAGUAGCGAAGGCGGUUCUCUGGGCCGGCACUGACGCUGAGGAGCGAAAGCGUGGGGAGCAAACA